RNAcentral lists this ribosomal RNA (384 nucleotides) under uncultured bacterium. RNAcentral's name for it is "bacterial SSU rRNA". It matches the Rfam family "Bacterial small subunit ribosomal RNA", at positions 28 to 417 of the family's 1533-position model. The record is from RNAcentral.
GACGAACGCUGGCGGCGUGCUUAACACAUGCAAGUCGAGCGGUAAGGCCCUUCGGGUACACGAGCGGCGAACGGGUGAGUAACACGUGGGUGACCUGCCUCUAGCUCUGGGAUAAGCCUGGGAAACUGGGUCUAAUACCGGAUAUGACUCCACGGCGCAUGUUGUGGGGUGGAAAGCCUUGUGUGGCUAGAGAUGGGCCCGCGGCCUAUCAGCUUGUUGUGGGGUGAUGGCCUACCAAGGCGACGACGGGUAGCCGGCCUGAGAGGGCGACCGGCCACACUGGGACUGAGACACGGCCCAGACUCCUACGGGAGGCAGCAGUGGGGAAUCUUGCGCAAUGGGCGAAAGCCUGACGCAGCGACGCCGCGUGAGGGAUGACGGCCU